UGGGUGACCUGCCCUCAGCUCUGGGAUAAGCCCGAGAAAUUGGGUCUAAUACCGGAUAUGACCUUUCCUCGCAUGGGGUUUGGUGGAAAGUUUUUUCGGCUGGGGAUGGGCCCGCGGCCUAUCAGCUUGUUGGUGGGGUGAUGGCCUACCAAGGCGACGACGGGUAGCCGGCCUGAGAGGGCGACCGGCCACACUGGGACUGAGACACGGCCCAGACUCCUACGGGAG
This 228-nucleotide ribosomal RNA is filed under the name uncultured bacterium. Its description in RNAcentral is "partial 16S ribosomal RNA". It matches the Rfam family "Bacterial small subunit ribosomal RNA", at positions 118 to 347 of the family's 1533-position model. The record is from RNAcentral.